CCUACGGAGGCAGCAGUGGGGAAUUUUGGACAAUGGGCGCAAGCCUGAUCCAGCAAUGCCGCGUGAGUGAAGAAGGCCUUCGGGUUGUAAAGCUCUUUUGUCAGGGAAGAAACGGUGGGAGCUAAUAUCUCCUACUAAUGACGGUACCUGAAGAAUAAGCACCGGCUAACUACGUGCCAGCAGCCGCGGUAAUACGUAGGGUGCAAGCGUUAAUCGGAAUUACUGGGCGUAAAGCGUGCGCAGGCGGUUUUGUAAGUCUGUCGUGAAAGCCCCGGGCUCAACCUGGGAAUUGCGAUGGAGACUGCAAGGCUUGAAUCUGGCAGAGGGGGGUAGAAUUCCACGUGUAGCAGUGAAAUGCGUAGAGAUGUGGAGGAACACCGAUGGCGAAGGCAGCCCCCUGGGUCAAGAUUGACGCUCAUGCACGAAAGCGUGGGGAGCAAACAGGAUUAGAUACCCUGGUAGUCCACGCCCUAAACGAUGUCUACUAGUUGUCGGGUUUUAAUUAACUUGGUAACGCAGCUAACGCGUGAAGUAGACCGCCUGGGGAUACGGUCGCAAGNUUAAAACUCAAAGUAGUAGUCGACGNGNGAGAGACGACGACGACGACGACGGAGGAGGAGG
RNAcentral lists this ribosomal RNA (621 nucleotides) under uncultured bacterium. RNAcentral describes it as "bacterial SSU rRNA". It matches the Rfam family "Bacterial small subunit ribosomal RNA", at positions 338 to 956 of the family's 1533-position model. The record is from RNAcentral.